This 704-nucleotide ribosomal RNA is filed under the name Psychrobacter sp. V4.BE.03. Its description in RNAcentral is "bacterial SSU rRNA". It matches the Rfam family "Bacterial small subunit ribosomal RNA", at positions 337 to 1033 of the family's 1533-position model. Lineage: Bacteria; Pseudomonadati; Pseudomonadota; Gammaproteobacteria; Moraxellales; Moraxellaceae. The record is from RNAcentral.
UCCUACGGGAGGCAGCAGUGGGGAAUUAUGGACAAUGGGGGAAACCCUGAUCCAGCCAUGCCGCGUGUGUGAAGAAGGCCUUUUGGUUGUAAAGCACUUUAAGCAGUGAAGAAGACYUAAUGGUUAAUACCCAUUAGCGAUGACAUUAGCUGCAGAAUAAGCACCGGCUAACUCUGUGCCAGCAGCCGCGGUAAUACAGAGGGUGCAAGCGUUAAUCGGAAUUACUGGGCGUAAAGCGAGCGUAGGUGGCUUGAUAAGUCAGAUGUGAAAUCCCCGGGCUUAACCUGGGAACUGCAUCUGAAACUGUUAGGCUAGAGUAGGUGAGAGGGAAGUAGAAUUUCAGGUGUAGCGGUGAAAUGCGUAGAGAUCUGAAGGAAUACCGAUGGCGAAGGCAGCUUCCUGGCAUCAUACUGACACUGAGGCUCGAAAGCGUGGGUAGCAAACAGGAUUAGAUACCCUGGUAGUCCACGCCGUAAACGAUGUCUACUAGUCGUUGGGUCCCUUGAGGACUUAGUGACGCAGCUAACGCAAUAAGUAGACCGCCUGGGGAGUACGGCCGCAAGGUUAAAACUCAAAUGAAUUGACGGGGGCCCGCACAAGCGGUGGAGCAUGUGGUUUAAUUCGAUGCAACGCGAAGAACCUUACUUGGUCUUGACAUAUCUAGAAUCUUGCASAGAUGCGUGAGUGCCUUUGGGAARRAGARU